GGCCAGCCCCAGCAUCAUAUUCACCGCAGCACCAUGUGGAUGUAAUAGCCAUGGAGGUAUGUAACAUUACAUUCACUUAGCCAAGAUGAGACUUUGCCUAUCUGUUCUUUCUGGCACAGUAUUUACUUCAUUUCAAUGUAACGUUAUUGGGCAAGCAGUGCCAAGUUUGGGCCGCAGGCUUGAAGGUAAGAACACAACUGUCACCAACUUAAAUGUACAUACUUAUUGGAAGUAUCGGCCAUCUGUUUUUACAGACUGUACCAAUAUAUGUAAAUAAAAUAUAGGAGGUGUUGGGGAUAUGUCAACAUAGUAUGUCAUUUCUAAUGCUUCUUUUGCAUAUUGUACUGUAGCUCAGGUUUCAGGCUGUAAUGCGUGCCAAUGAGCUGAAGAAGUCGACAGUGUGGCAGAAGCUACCUUGCAUUCUGUCAAAUCGUCUUGCCAUAGUCUCAACCUGGACUGGGUAUAAGGCCUGUUUCAGGGACUUGUUUCUGAAGACCAUUCUUCACAGAGCCAUUUGGAAGAGCCCUGCAACCCGAGACGUCACGGAUGAGGUGGUCCAGAUUCACCUGUUACCUGAAAGGGGCCAAUGAUUGUGAAGGCAGGAGGUGGCGGAACACAGGGGAGAGGGAUCCACUGCAGUGAGGGUGAACAUCAAGUCUCUGACCACCUGUCUCAAAGCCAGUUUCUAUCCCAAGCCACAAGACUGUUCCAACAGCUGAACCCUGGGCUGAUAACUACACCUUACCAUACAUUUACCAUUUAUUAAUAUACUGUACACACUGAAUUACUUUUUGAUUUAAUUGGUCUACUAGACCAAUGCAAUAGUUGUCACCUUACCUCAUUACUAAUGCAUAUCGUUUCCUAUAAUUCUAUGCUGCUACUGUACUGUACCUUAUUCCACUCACUAUGUACAUGGGCAAACAAUGUCCAUAGCCUGCUAUAUCCCAAUUUGGCCAUUUUUAAAAUCUUAUUUUCUUUUAUCUGCAUGCCUCUUGUGCUUGAUUUAGUUUAUUUAGUAUUUUUAUUAGUAUGUUAUAUAUUUACAAUGCCCCUUAUUUGAUUGCUUUCCUUUUUUAGUUAUUUGAUUACUAUGUCACUUACGCUGCCAUUGCACUGUGUGAGGAGCCUGACAAUAAAAUGUGAUUUGACUGGA
Salmo salar (Atlantic salmon) is the source of this 1153-nucleotide long non-coding RNA. RefSeq lists it as uncharacterized. The record is from RefSeq and is a predicted model, not a curated record. NCBI's taxonomy places the organism in Eukaryota, Metazoa, Chordata, Actinopteri, Salmoniformes, Salmonidae.